AAUCCGUCGACUUUUAAAAUCGUGAGGGUUCAAGU
Molecule: transfer RNA, 35 nt
Filed under: Silene vulgaris (bladder campion)
Lineage: Eukaryota; Viridiplantae; Streptophyta; Magnoliopsida; Caryophyllales; Caryophyllaceae
Also listed under: 1 other name
Description: partial tRNA-Leu
Source: RNAcentral